CAAUAGCGUAUAUUAAAGUUGUUGCAGUUAAAAAGCUCGUAGUUGGAUUUGUGGCGUACGGUGUGUUCCGGGCACUUGUUGUCUGAGUAACCUGCUGUUGCCAUCCUUGGGUGGAACCUGUGUGGCAUUAGGUUGUCGUGCAGGGGAUGCCCAUCAUUUACUGUGAAAAAAUUAGAGUGUUCAAAGCAGGCUUAUGCCGUUGAAUAUAUUAGCAUGGAAUAAUGAGAUAGGACUUUUUUGCUAUUUUGUUGGUUUGCGUAAAGAGGUAAUGAUUAAUAGGGACAGUUGGGGGUAUUCGUAUUCCAUUGUCAGAGGUGAAAUUCUUGGAUUUUUGGAAGACGAACUACUGCGAAAGCAUUUACCAAGGAUGUUUUCAUUAA
Molecule: ribosomal RNA, 380 nt
Filed under: uncultured eukaryote
Lineage: Eukaryota
Description: partial 18S ribosomal RNA
Rfam family: Eukaryotic small subunit ribosomal RNA
Source: RNAcentral